RNAcentral lists this ribosomal RNA (1234 nucleotides) under metagenome. Its description in RNAcentral is "bacterial LSU rRNA". It matches the Rfam family "Bacterial large subunit ribosomal RNA", at positions 1564 to 2808 of the family's 2925-position model. The record is from RNAcentral.
UGAAUACGAGAUGCUAAGGCGUCGAAGUAGUGUAUGUCAUACUUCCAAGAAAAGCUUGCACUGUCAUAAAUAAGAAAUGCCUGUACCAUAACCGACACAGGUGGGUAAGUAGAGUAUACUAAGGGGCGCGAGAUAACUCUCUCUAAGGAACUCGGCAAAAUAACUCCGUAACUUCGGGAGAAGGAGUGCCUUAUUCUUAAGGUUGCAAUAACAAGAUCCAAGCAACUGUUUAUCAAAAACACAGGUCUCCGCUAAGUCGUAAGACGAUGUAUGGGGGCUGACGCCUGCCCAGUGCCAGAAGGUUAAAGAAGUUGGUUAGCAAUUGCGAAGCUGGUAACUGAAGCCCUGGUGAACGGCGGCCGUAACAAUAACGGUCCUAAGGUAGCGAAAUUCCUUGUCGGGUAAGUUCCGACCCGCACGAAAGGCGUAAUGAUUUGGAUGCUGUCUCGGAGAGGGGCUCGGUGAAAUAGACUUGUCUGUGAAGAUGCGGACUACCUGCACCAGGACAGAAAGACCCUAUGAAGCUUUACUGUAACUUGAAAUUGAAAUUGGACUUUAUUUGCGCAGUAUAGGUGGGAGGCGUUGAUUAUAAUCUUGCGGGAUUAUUGGAGCCAUCAGUGAGAUACCACUCUUGUAAUGUUAGAUUUCUAACUUUGAAUCAUUAUCUGGUCAAAGGACAAUUUCAGGCGGGCAGUUUGACUGGGGCGGUCGCCUCCUAAAUGGUAACGGAGGCGUACAAAGGUUUCCUCUGAACGGUUAGAAAUCGUAUCUAGAGUGUAAAGGCAUAAGGAAGCUUGACUGUGAGACCUACAAGUCGAGCAGGGACGAAAGUCGGUCUUAGUGAUCUGACGGUACUGAGUGGAAAGGCCGUCACUCAACGGAUAAAAGUUACUCUAGGAUAACAGGCUGAUCUCCCCCAAGAGUUCACAUCGACGGGGAGGUUUGGCACCUCGAUGUCGGCUCAUCGCAUCCUGGGGCGGUAGUACGUCCCAAGGGUUGGGCUGUUCGCCCAUGAAAGCGGUACGCGAGCUGGGUUCAGAACGUCGUGAGACAGUUCGGUCCAUAUCCGGUGUAGGCGUUAGAAUAUUGAGAGGAGCCUUCUUUAGUACGAGAGGACCGAGAAGGACAUACCUCUGGUGUACCAGUUAUCGUGCCAACGGUAAACGCUGGGUAGCUAUGUAUGGAGUGGAUAACCGCUGAAAGCAUCUAAGUGGGAAGCCCACCUCAAGAUAAG